Molecule: ribosomal RNA, 486 nt
Filed under: uncultured bacterium
Lineage: Bacteria
Description: bacterial SSU rRNA
Rfam family: Bacterial small subunit ribosomal RNA
Source: RNAcentral
GACGAACGCUGGCGGCGUGCUUAACACAUGCAAGUCGAACGGGGUGUUUAUUUCGGUAAACACCAAGUGGCGAACGGGUGAGUAACGCGUAAGCAAUCUACCUUCAAGAUGGGGACAACACUUCGAAAGGGGUGCUAAUACCGAAUGAAUGUAAGAGUAUCGCAUGAGACACUUACUAAAGGAGGCCUCUGAAAAUGCUUCCGCUUGAAGAUGAGCUUGCGUCUGAUUAGCUAGUUGGUGAGGGUAAAGGCCCGACCAAGGCGACGAUCAGUAGCCGGUCUGAGAGGUUGAACGGCCACAUUGGGACUGAGACACGGCCCAGACUCCUACGGGAGGCAGCAUGGGAAUAUUGCACAAUGGGGGAAACCCUGAUGCAGCGACGCCGCGUGGAGGAAGAAGGUCUUCGGGAUUGGUAAACUCCUGUUGUUGAGGAAGAUAAUGACGGUACUCAACAAGGAAGUGACGGCUAACUACGUGCCAGCAGCC